CGGGCUGGGGAUCCUGUGCGCGGAUGCGUGUGAAGCGUCGGGGCUCGAGAUACCGAGGCUUUCGGAUGAGACCGUUGAACGACUGCGCGGCAUGCUUCCGGCCGAAGCAAGCGUUGGGAACCCGGUGGACAUGAUCGCCUCUGCCUCGGCGGAGCAGUACGCCGAGGCGCUCCGCAUACUUACCGACGAUCCCGAGGUUGACUCCAUCGUCGUCAUCUUCAUCCCCCCGCU
Molecule: unclassified non-coding RNA, 231 nt
Filed under: plant metagenome
Description: partial contains 5.8S ribosomal RNA, internal transcribed spacer 2, and large subunit ribosomal RNA
Source: RNAcentral